UACGAAAGGGGCUAGCGUUGUUCGGAAUUACUGGGCGUAAAGCGCGCGUAGGCGGACUGUCAAGUUGGGGGUGAAAUCCCGGGGCUCAACCUCGGAACUGCCUCCAAAACUGUCAGUCUAGAGGAUGUGAGAGGAUAGUGGAAUUCCGAGUGUAGAGGUGAAAUUCGUAGAUAUUCGGAAGAACACCGGUGGCGAAGGCGACUGUCUGGCACAUUUCUGACGCUGAGGUGCGAAAGCGUGGGGAGCAAACAGG
Molecule: ribosomal RNA, 253 nt
Filed under: uncultured bacterium
Lineage: Bacteria
Description: partial 16S ribosomal RNA
Rfam family: Bacterial small subunit ribosomal RNA
Source: RNAcentral